Molecule: long non-coding RNA, 1262 nt
Organism: Silurus meridionalis
Lineage: Eukaryota; Metazoa; Chordata; Actinopteri; Siluriformes; Siluridae
Exons: 2
Source: RefSeq, a predicted model, not a curated record
ACACUGUCUUGUAUUGACUUGCACUGUAUUGUGUUGUCUUGCACCGUCUUGUGUUGUCUUGCACCGUCUUGGUUUGUCCUACACCGUCUUGGUUUGUCCUACACUGUCUUGUGUUGACUUACACUGUCUUGUGUUGUCUUACACUGUCUUGUGUUGACUUGCACUGUCUUGUGUUGUCUUGCACUGUCUUGUGUUGACUUUCACUGUCUUGUGUUGACUUUGCACUGUCUGUCUGCACUGUUUGCACCAGGUUGCACAUGAUGCACUUUAUGUGGUGAGGACACUUAGCUCAGUCAGCUCUGUGUUUCUUCUUAUGUAGCUUUAUGCUGUAAAUGUAGCACCAGGGUUCCUGGAGGAACGUUGUUAUAUUUCACGGUGUACUACGUCAGCUAUAUAUGUUUGAAAUGACAAUUAAAGCUUCUUGACUUGACGUGACUUGAUAGAUGGCAAAGACAAAACAGACUUUCCUAAAAAAAAAGGGGAAAGACCAAAUGAUGAGACAGCAGAAGUCUCCAAGACUGUCAGCUGCAUUUAAAAGGAAAUACCAAGAGUCCUAUUUAAAUUAUAGUUUCAUCAAAAUAUUUAUAUCAUGUGGCUCAAGGCUGUCUAUAAUUCUGCAUUUUGGACACCAUUGCGGGGAUCCAGCGCGAAUAGCAGAAGGUGCAUGGCGCGUUUUGAAAAAAGAAGACUUCAAGGACGUAUUCCAGAAGUGGCAGGAACGCUGGGAGCGCCGCAUUGCUGUGCGAGGGGUCUAUUUUAAAGCUGAUUCCACAAGGGGGCACACAUUCCCAAGAGUUGACAAGCUGAAGCAGAUGGUGACGUGUGUGGAUUAUUGGUCAUCAUGGUCUUGUCUGGACUGGAGUUGGAACAUGUCAGGCUGCAGCCAAACCCAGCAUUCCUGUUGAGAUACUGUCAUUGCAGGAUAUUAAUAAACCUAUCAAGCUAUCUACUCGUUUAAGGACAGACAAGUGUCCUGUGAGGGUUCUCAAGCUAUGUGCCAUGCCCAUGCCUGCUGCUCCAGUAAUCCUCAAACCACAACUGCAUUACAAAACCAUAUGUAUGAACACUUACAUACAUUGUAUGUUCAUCUGUUAUAUAUAUAUAUAUACACAUAUAUCUAAUGUUCCUCUUAGAACACGAAUCUAUUAAUAGAAUGACAUUAAUGAGUCAAAUCACUGAUUGAUAUAAAAUUAUCAUGAGCCCAAAAAACGACUUCAAAAUAAAUUGCACAAAAAAAGCCGCGGGUGAUGUGGCAAGUUUGA